AGUGAACGCUGGCGGUAGGCCUAACACAUGCAAGUCGAACGGCAGCACAGUAAGAGCUUGCUCUUACGGGUGGCGAGUGGCGGACGGGUGAGGAAUACAUCGGAAUCUACUUUUUCGUGGGGGAUAACGUAGGGAAACUUACGCUAAUACCGCAUACGACCUACGGGUGAAAGCAGGGGAUCUUCGGACCUUGCGCGAUUGAAUGAGCCGAUGUCGGAUUAGCUAGUUGGCGGGGUAAAGGCCCACCAAGGCGACGAUCCGUAGCUGGUCUGAGAGGAUGAGCAGCCAAGCUGGAACUGAGACACGGUCCAGACUCCUGCGGGAGGGAGCAGUGGGGAAUAUUGGACGAUGGGCGCAAGCCUGAUCCAGCCAUACCGCGUGGGUGAAGAAGGCCGUCGGGUCGUGAAGCCGUUUUGGUGGGAAAGAAAAGCAGAAGGUUAAUACCCCGAUGUUCUGACGGUACCCAAAGAAUAAGGACCGGCUAACUUCGUG
This 492-nucleotide ribosomal RNA is filed under the name uncultured bacterium. Its description in RNAcentral is "partial 16S ribosomal RNA". It matches the Rfam family "Bacterial small subunit ribosomal RNA", at positions 29 to 507 of the family's 1533-position model. The record is from RNAcentral.